Molecule: ribosomal RNA, 1161 nt
Filed under: Escherichia coli
Lineage: Bacteria; Pseudomonadati; Pseudomonadota; Gammaproteobacteria; Enterobacterales; Enterobacteriaceae
Description: partial 23S ribosomal RNA
Rfam family: Bacterial large subunit ribosomal RNA
Source: RNAcentral
GGGUUGUGAGGUUAAGCGACUAAGCGUACACGGUGGAUGCCCUGGCAGUCAGAGGCGAUGAAGGACGUGCUAAUCUGCGAUAAGCGUCGGUAAGGUGAUAUGAACCGUUAUAACCGGCGAUUUCCGAAUGGGGAAACCCAGUGUGAUUCGUCACACUAUCAUUAACUGAAUCCAUAGGUUAAUGAGGCGAACCGGGGGAACUGAAACAUCUAAGUACCCCGAGGAAAAGAAAUCAACCGAGAUUCCCCCAGUAGCGGCGAGCGAACGGGGAGCAGCCCAGAGCCUGAAUCAGUGUGUGUGUUAGUGGAAGCGUCUGGAAAGGCGCGCGAUACAGGGUGACAGCCCCGUACACAAAAAUGCACAUACUGUGAGCUCGAUGAGUAGGGCGGGACACGUGGUAUCCUGUCUGAAUAUGGGGGGACCAUCCUCCAAGGCUAAAUACUCCUGACUGACCGAUAGUGAACCAGUACCGUGAGGGAAAGGCGAAAAGAACCCCGGCGAGGGGAGUGAAAAAGAACCUGAAACCGUGUACGUACAAGCAGUGGGAGCACGCUUAGGCGUGUGACUGCGUACCUUUUGUAUAAUGGGUCAGCGACUUAUAUUCUGUAGCAAGGUUAACCGAAUAGGGGAGCCGAAGGGAAACCGAGUCUUAACUGGGCGUUAAGUUGCAGGGUAUAGACCCGAAACCCGGUGAUCUAGCCAUGGGCAGGUUGAAGGUUGGGUAACACUAACUGGAGGACCGAACCGACUAAUGUUGAAAAAUUAGCGGAUGACUUGUGGCUGGGGGUGAAAGGCCAAUCAAACCGGGAGAUAGCUGGUUCUCCCCGAAAGCUAUUUAGGUAGCGCCUCGUGAAUUCAUCUCCGGGGGUAGAGCACUGUUUCGGCAAGGGGGUCAUCCCGACUUACCAACCCGAUGCAAACUGCGAAUACCGGAGAAUGUUAUCACGGGAGACACACGGCGGGUGCUAACGUCCGUCGUGAAGAGGGAAACAACCCAGACCGCCAGCUAAGGUCCCAAAGUCAUGGUUAAGUGGGAAACGAUGUGGGAAGGCCCAGACAGCCAGGAUGUUGGCUUAGAAGCAGCCAUCAUUUAAAGAAAGCGUAAUAGCUCACUGGUCGAGUCGGCCUGCGCGGAAGAUGUAACGGGGCUAAACCAUGCAC